This 353-nucleotide ribosomal RNA is filed under the name uncultured bacterium. RNAcentral's name for it is "bacterial SSU rRNA". It matches the Rfam family "Bacterial small subunit ribosomal RNA", at positions 43 to 360 of the family's 1533-position model. The record is from RNAcentral.
GGCCCGGGGGAUUCGAUUCAGGCCUAACACAUGCAAGUCGAACGAAGCACUUUUCUUGAAUCUAAGGAGGACAGAGUUGUGACUGAGUGGCGGACGGGUGAGUAACGCGUGGGUAACCUGCCGCUGUACAGGGGGAUAAGAGUUAGAAAUGACUGCUAAUACCGCAUAAGCGCACGAGGUAGCAUGAUCUUGUGUGAAAAACUCCGGUGGUACAGGAUGGGCCCGCGUCUGAGUAGCUUGUUGGCGGGGUAAGAGCCCACCAAGGCGACGAUCGGUAGCCGGUCUGGGGGGAUGAACGGCCACAGUUGGAACUGAGACAGGGUCGAAACUCCUACGGGAGGCAGCAGUGGGGA